Molecule: ribosomal RNA, 305 nt
Filed under: uncultured bacterium
Lineage: Bacteria
Description: bacterial SSU rRNA
Rfam family: Bacterial small subunit ribosomal RNA
Source: RNAcentral
UUCACCUACGGGAGGCAGCAGUGGGGAAUAUUGGGCAAUGGGCGCAAGCCUGACCCAGCAACGCCGCGUGAAGGAAGAAGGCUUUCGGGUUGUAAACUUCUUUUCUGAGGGACGAAGAAAGUGACGGUACCUCAGGAAUAAGCCACGGCUAGCUACGUGCCAGCAGCCGCGGUAAUACGUAGGUGGCAAGCGUUAUCCGGAUUUAUUGGGUGUAAAGGGCGUGUAGGCGGGAAUGCAAGUCAGAUGUGAAAACUAUGGGCUCAACCCAUAGCCUGCAUUUGAAACUGUAUUUCUUGAGUGCUGGG